Molecule: ribosomal RNA, 253 nt
Filed under: uncultured bacterium
Lineage: Bacteria
Description: partial 16S ribosomal RNA
Rfam family: Bacterial small subunit ribosomal RNA
Source: RNAcentral
UACAGAGGUCCCAAGCGUUGUUCGGAUUUACUGGGCGUAAAGGGUGCGUAGGUGGUCGGGUAAGUCUGAUGUGAAAUCUCGGAGCUCAACUCCGAAACGGCAUUGGAUACUAUUCGGCUGGAGGGUUGGAGGGGAGACUGGAAUACUUGGUGUAGCAGUGAAAUGCGUAGAUAUCAAGUGGAACACCAGUGGCGAAGGCGAGUCUCUGGACAACUCCUGACACUGAGGCACGAAAGCUAGGGGAGCAAACAGG